ACGGUGGAGGAGGGCGGCCAUCAGAAUGUCAAAUCCAGGUCGUAAACACCUUUUUCAGGGUUUGUUGUAAUUUGAAUGGUUGCUAAGCAACCGUUGAGGCCUACCUAUAAAAAUGCUUGCAUGGUGUGCUGCAGUUGUAUUGCUCCGAAUUCUGAGGUUGCUGAAUACAAAAGAUAUACGCACCACGUGAGCAGGCCCAAAGGACUGUGUGGGGCUCCAAGAUACCAAAGGACUGAUGCUCCUUUACAUCAGAGGGAGCCGUUCGGUUAACAGGCCCAAAGGUUUUUUCCCUCCUUCCUGUCUCAAGCCCUGCACAGGCUUCAUUGCAUUUUAGGAGAGAAAACAAUCUCAAUAACCAGGAAAAUGUACUUUUCCUCUCGUUUAUACUGCUUGCGACCUGAGAAUGACUUCUUCUUCCUAAGCAUUUUAAGAGAAGCUUUGGGUGAAAUAUUUGGGAUUAAGCUGCUUUUGGAGAGUCCGAAGGAGUCCCAGCCAGCACCACAAAUUUAGAGUUGGCAUCAAAGAUAGUUGGAUGGCUUCAGUCUCCCUGGUCUAUUCCAUAUUUGAAAUACUUGCAGCAAACCGCUUCUGUCGGAAAACCCAACUUGAAUGUCUCACAAUGACAUGGGAAACCAAAUUCAGGAAAGCUGGAAUGAGCUCAUCUGACCUCAGUGAAGAGCCACAGCUGAGUUCCCACCAACUUUUCUUCCUCUUUUCCUGGCAGAGAUAAACUUACCAUGCUGUAUUUAAAGAGAAAGGUGAACGGAAGGAUUAAGGUGUUUAUAAACCACAUUAAUCUUGUUUCAACCGUUAUUUCUUUCCAUCGUUUAAAGAAAGCAAGUUUAAGUCAGUUGCAUCUUUUUUUUAUCUGUCUUCCAUUGUUCAUUUGCAGUUUACCUCAUUCUCCGUUAAGGACGCGGAAGGAGAUGAACUUUUGCUAUAAGGGAGAUGCGAAGAUUCUGGUCCCGAGGCCCGAUUUCGUUUCUUCAGUGGCUUACAGGCAUCGGAAAGACCUGUCGUUGUGGCAAAAUAAUUGUGAUUUACAAAGAGAGCUUAAGAGUCCCAGGGUCUUUCCUUGAAGUCAGAAGCCAACAUCGCCUGACUGAUGUAUCGAGAAUUUACAAUGUUCUUUUGAGAUCCCCCCCAGUGUAGAAUGAGAAAUAUAGAGAAGCAAAUAUAGACACAAUUAAGAAUAGUUAAGAAAUAAUAAUGUAGCUUGUUUGCAAUCUAGCAUUCAAUGGGUAUCCCCACCUUCUCCUAAAGAUGUGACAUGGAUGGAUUUGGUCAAUAAUCUGUUAUUGAUGUAGUAGAUUUGCAAAUAAUUUUUACAAAUUAAAUACUCACAAGGACUAA
Molecule: non-coding RNA, 1353 nt
Organism: Pantherophis guttatus
Lineage: Eukaryota; Metazoa; Chordata; Lepidosauria; Squamata; Colubridae
Source: RefSeq, a predicted model, not a curated record